Long non-coding RNA from Alligator mississippiensis (American alligator), 142 nucleotides. RefSeq lists it as uncharacterized. The transcript is spliced from 3 exons. NCBI's taxonomy places the organism in Eukaryota, Metazoa, Chordata, Crocodylia, Alligatoridae. The record is from RefSeq and is a predicted model, not a curated record.
CUGUCACCCUGACCGCAAGGCUACAGAAGACUGGACAGUCUUUUAUCCCGGGAGAAAAAUAUGGGAUCCUUUGGAAAGAGAGGAAGGGCAUCUCAGGAGGAGGGACAAGGAUGGAGAUGCAUCCCUCUGCCAUCCUGCCUCG